Molecule: non-coding RNA, 110 nt
Organism: Cordylochernes scorpioides
Lineage: Eukaryota; Metazoa; Arthropoda; Arachnida; Pseudoscorpiones; Chernetidae
Source: the annotation of a GenBank genome assembly
GCUGUGUUAUCCUGAAGUUUUUUUGUCGUCCGAUCACCGAAGUUAAGCAAUGUCGGGCCCGGUCAGUACUUGGGAGGGUGACCACCUGGGAACACCGAGUGCUAUAGGCA